UGGGGAAUAUUGCACAAUGGGCGCAAGCCUGAUGCAGCCAUGCCGCGUGUGUGAAGAAGGCCUUCGGGUUGUAAAGCACUUUCAGCGAGGAGGAAGGGUUCAGUGUUAAUAGCACUGUUCAUUGACGUUACUCGCAGAAGAAGCACCGGCUAACUCCGUGCCAGCAGCCGCGGUAAUACGGAGGGUGCAAGCGUUAAUCGGAAUUACUGGGCGUAAAGCGCACGCAGGCGGUUUGUUAAGUCAGAUGUGAAAUCCCCGCGCUUAACGUGGGAACUGCAUUUGAAACUGGCAAGCUAGAGUCUUGUAGAGGGGGGUAGAAUUC
RNAcentral lists this ribosomal RNA (322 nucleotides) under uncultured bacterium. RNAcentral describes it as "partial 16S ribosomal RNA". It matches the Rfam family "Bacterial small subunit ribosomal RNA", at positions 355 to 669 of the family's 1533-position model. The record is from RNAcentral.